AUCCUCCAAGGCUAAAUACUCCUGACUGACCGAUAGUGAACCAGUACCGUGAGGGAAAGGCGAAAAGAACCCCGGCGAGGGGAGUGAAAAAGAACCUGAAACCGUGUACGUACAAGCAGUGGGAGCCUCUUUUAUGGGGUGACUGCGUACCUUUUGUAUAAUGGGUCAGCGACUUAUAUUCUGUAGCAAGGUUAACCGAAUAGGGGAGCCGGAGGGAAACCGAGUCUUAACCGGGCGUUAAGUUGCAGGGUAUAGACCCGAAACCCGGUGAUCUAGCCAUGGGCAGGUUGAAGGUUGGGUAACACUAACUGGAGGACCGAACCGACUAAUGUUGAAAAA
This 339-nucleotide ribosomal RNA is filed under the name Salmonella enterica. RNAcentral describes it as "partial 23S ribosomal RNA". It matches the Rfam family "Bacterial large subunit ribosomal RNA", at positions 455 to 796 of the family's 2925-position model. RNAcentral also lists the same sequence under 2 other names. Lineage: Bacteria; Pseudomonadati; Pseudomonadota; Gammaproteobacteria; Enterobacterales; Enterobacteriaceae. The record is from RNAcentral.